This is a long non-coding RNA of Chiloscyllium plagiosum (whitespotted bambooshark), 786 nucleotides long. RefSeq lists it as uncharacterized. Lineage: Eukaryota; Metazoa; Chordata; Chondrichthyes; Orectolobiformes; Hemiscylliidae. The record is from RefSeq and is a predicted model, not a curated record.
CCUGCUCUGCUCAUUGGCAACAUCAUGAGCGGCGAGCACCACUUCAAUGGGAGAUGCAUUGCAGCUGCUUGCUGCAAACUUCAGAAAACGUGCACCAGGUUUUUGUGAAAAUACACUUCGGACCUUGGAGAGAAGGAGGAACAUUCUGUGUGUGCAACGGGGUGAGAAAUCUUCUACACAUGUGUUCAAGAAAAAAGAAAGUGCAAGUAGCAGUUAAAGUUAAUGGCAAGAAUAUUGCUGCAAGAACAUGGUUGCAGCGAAGAUUUCUAUAAAGGGACAAGCUGCAAAGGAGUCAGAUAAAGACAAACUAAGAAAACUGCUGGGAAUGCACAAACCCCCAUGCUGUUACAUGUCAAUCAGGAAGCAUAGACUGCUGUAGCCCAAAUGCUGCAAUCUGAAGGGGACCUUCCAGGUCUGGAAUUGCUCAGACCACAGGGGAUGGUAACUACAGCACUCAUGACUGAGAACAAAUGAUCUGACCAAGUAGAGUGAAAGCCUUCACCACAUGCAACAUCACACUCCCUGUCGACCUCAUCUACUUUAAAUAGCUGUGGAAAACUCACAGAUGUGCUGAUCCAGACAGAACUAGUAGAAAUUAAUCAGGAACUGACUUAAAAGGUGCCUUCAAAUAACACAGAUGAAGCUCUUCCCAUUGCUGAAUGUACAUUUGUCUCUGCAUUUUUAAAAGGGAGUAUUAGCUGAAGCAGCAUUUGAUAAAAUUAUUAUACACCGACUGAUGCCACAAUAUGUCUGUCACACACAUUUCUGCUGUCUGCAUCUGUACAU